UGCAGUCGAGCGGACUUGCUGGAGCUUGCUCCAGCAGGUUAGCGGCGGACGGGUGAGUAACACGUGGGCAACCUGCCUGUAAGACUGGGAUAACUCCGGGAAACCGGAGCUAAUACCGGAUAGUAUCUUGAACCGCAUGGUUCAAGUUGGAAAGACGGUUUCGGCUGUCACUUACAGAUGGGCCCGCGGCGCAUUAGCUAGUUGGUGAGGUAAUGGCUCACCAAGGCAACGAUGCGUAGCCGACCUGAGAGGGUGAUCGGCCACACUGGGACUGAGACACGGCCCAGACUCCUACGGGAGGCAGCAGUAGGGAAUCUUCCGCAAUGGACGAAAGUCUGACGGAGCAACGCCGCGUGAGUGAUGAAGGUUUUCGGAUCGUAAAACUCUGUUGUUAGGGAAGAACAAGUGCGAGAGUAACUGCUCGCACCUUGACGGUACCUAACCAGAAAGCCACGGCUAACUACGUGCCAGCAGCCGCGGUAAUACGUAGGUGGCAAGCGUUGUCCGGAAUUAUUGGGCGUAAAGCGCGCGCAGGCGGUUUCUUAAGUCUGAUGUGAAAGCCCCCGGCUCAACCGGGGAGGGUCAUUGGAAACUGGGAAACUUGAGUGCAGAAGAGGAGAGUGGAAUUCCACGUGUAGCGGUGAAAUGCGUAGAGAUGUGGAGGAACACCAGUGGCGAAGGCGACUCUCUGGUCUGUAACUGACGCUGAGGCGCGAAAGCGUGGAGGAGCAAACAGGAUUAGAUACCCUGGUAGUCCACGCCG
This 763-nucleotide ribosomal RNA is filed under the name Metabacillus idriensis. RNAcentral describes it as "bacterial SSU rRNA". It matches the Rfam family "Bacterial small subunit ribosomal RNA", at positions 56 to 802 of the family's 1533-position model. Lineage: Bacteria; Bacillati; Bacillota; Bacilli; Caryophanales; Bacillaceae. The record is from RNAcentral.